CCCAUACAAAAACCUACCUACAAAAGCAGACUGCAUUUGCAUUCUAAAGUCUCGCGGACAGAACUCAGGAGCCCUGAAUAAGGUCCAAGCAGCCGAGGACAAUGAAGGCUUCUCUGUCUACCUGGCAGCUUGGCGGGACCCAGGCCUAGGACAGACAGGCACUCAGGGCGACCGGAGGAUCCUUGCCGCCCAGGGAUCCCAGCGGCCCUCCUAGGGGAGGAGAGGUUCUCUAGGUUUACCUACAGAGCAAUCUGAUGAAGGUAUUUCCUCAACUGAAGUUCCUGCUUCUUAGACGGCCCGACCUGAUGUCAAGCUGACUGGAAACUAACACAGCUUUCUACCAGACCAUCAAAGAAUUCCUCCUUCAGAAGGGUGAGUAGUCCAUUACAACGGAAGUCAGGACGGGAACUCAAGCAGGGAUGGAGCCUGGAGGCAGGACCUGAGGCAGAGGCCGUGGAGGGUGCUGCCUAAUGAUUUGUUCAGCCUGCUUUCUCCUGGAACCCCCAAGACCACCAGCUCAGAGGUGGCACCACCAACAAUGAACUGGACUCUUUCCUAUCAAUCACUAAUUAAGAAAAUGCCCUAACAGUUGAAUCUUACGGAGACCUUCUUUUGCAUUGAGAUUCUGUCUUUUCAGAUGACUGUAGCAUUUGCCGUGCUGACAUAAAACUAGCCAGCAUGGCUAUGAAUUCAUUCUACAUUUAUGGAGACUAUAAAAAAACAAAAAGAGGACAGACUGCCUCAGCUACACAUUUCAACAACAGCUACCCAACUUACUCAGCUGACUGGAUGGUGAAUGGCAGGCAAACAUUGGUAGCGCUUUCCCAACUCUGACUCAGUCUCCCUCAUUUCCUCUACUGUCGCUGGUGGUGACUUCACAAGGCGGUCUCUCCUUGGGGACUGCCACUCAUUUCCUAAGAUGUCUCGAUUCAUGCUGGGGUCUGCCAACUGAGGAAGGAAAAGGAGAACUGACACUUGGCCUGCAAGCCCAACCUACAGGGACUGCUGCCCACUGAGACUACCCUGUAACGUGAGACCUACCUCCCUCCUCCCAGCACUGAACUCACAAGAUGCUUGCAUUCACUGGUUUGAUACAUGGGACUCUACCCCCCCCCCCCCACUCCCGCCAUAGCCACCCCCUUUCUUUCCCCCCUCCUGCCCACAACACAUAACAGGCACCUUCUCUAGCAAGAAGCUCUGACUGAGAACUGCCCGGACCACGGAUUCCACAAUUUGCUCAUCAAAAUUCUAGUUGUUUGUUGUAACCAUCUAAAUUAUCUAAUCUUUAUACCAAUAAAGACACAGGAGGCAGAAA
Molecule: long non-coding RNA, 1315 nt
Organism: Rattus norvegicus (Norway rat)
Lineage: Eukaryota; Metazoa; Chordata; Mammalia; Rodentia; Muridae
Source: RefSeq, a predicted model, not a curated record